Molecule: ribosomal RNA, 293 nt
Filed under: uncultured bacterium
Lineage: Bacteria
Description: partial 16S ribosomal RNA
Rfam family: Bacterial small subunit ribosomal RNA
Source: RNAcentral
GGAUUAGAUACCCUGGUAGUCCACGCUGUAAACGUUGGGCACUAGGUGUGGGGGCCACCCGUGGUUUCUGCGCCGUAGCUAACGCUUUAAGUGCCCCGCCUGGGGAGUACGGCCGCAAGGCUAAAACUCAAAGGAAUUGACGGGGGCCCGCACAAGCGGCGGAGCAUGCGGAUUAAUUCGAUGCAACGCGAAGAACCUUACCAAGGCUUGACAUGCACGGCGACACUGCAGAGAUGUGGUGGCAUUUAGUUGGUCGUGUGCAGGUGGUGCAUGGUUGUCGUCAGCUCGUGCCG